RNAcentral lists this ribosomal RNA (229 nucleotides) under uncultured bacterium. RNAcentral's name for it is "partial 16S ribosomal RNA". It matches the Rfam family "Bacterial small subunit ribosomal RNA", at positions 118 to 350 of the family's 1533-position model. The record is from RNAcentral.
UGGGCAACCUGCCCUCAGCUCUGGGAUAACUCCGGGAACCGGGCUAAUACCGGAUACGACCUUCCCUCGCAUGGGGGUUGGUGGAAAGUUCUUCGGCUGAGGAUGGGCCCGCGGCCUAUCAGCUAGUUGGUGAGGUAACGGCUCACCAAGGCGACGACGGGUAGCUGGUCUGAGAGGAUGGCCAGCCACAUUGGGACUGAGACAUGGCCCAGACUCCGUACGGGAGGCA